RNAcentral lists this small RNA (107 nucleotides) under Marmota monax (woodchuck). Lineage: Eukaryota; Metazoa; Chordata; Mammalia; Rodentia; Sciuridae. The record is from RNAcentral.
GCCUAGCAUGGUGGCACAUGCCUGUAAUCCCAAUCACUUGGGAGGUUGAGACAGGAGGAUUGCAAGUUUGAGGCCAACCUCAACAACUUGGAGAGAACCUGUCUCAA